Odobenus rosmarus divergens (Pacific walrus) is the source of this 2264-nucleotide RNA transcript. It is a transcript of the gene named nucleolar transcription factor 1-like, with no coding region annotated. The transcript is spliced from 2 exons. The record is from RefSeq and is a predicted model, not a curated record. NCBI's taxonomy places the organism in Eukaryota, Metazoa, Chordata, Mammalia, Carnivora, Odobenidae.
AUGAACCGAGAAGCUGACUGCCCCACAGACCUGGAAAUGGCCGCCCCCAAAGGCCAAGACCGCUGGUCUCAGGAAGACAUGCUGACUUUGCUGGAAUGUAUGAAGAACAACUUCCAUCCAAUGACAGCUCCAAGUUCAAAACCACCGAGUCACAUAUGGACUGGGAAAAAGUAGCAUUUAAAGACUUUUCUGGAGACACGUGCAAGCUCAAAUGGGUGGACAUUUCUAACGAGGUGAGGAAGUUCUGAACAUUGACAGAAUUGAUCCUUGAUGCUCAGGAACAUGUUAAAAAUCCUUACAAAGGCAAAAAACUCAAGAAACACCCAGACUUCCCAAAGAAGCCCCUGACCCCUUAUUUCCACUUUUUCAUGGAGAAGCAGGCCAAGUACGCAAUGCUCCACCCUGAGAUGAGCAACCUGGACCUGACCAAGAUUCUGUCCAAGAAAUACAAGGACCUGCCAGAGAAGAAGAUGAAAUAUAUUCAGGACUUCCAGAGAGAGAAACAGGAGUUCGAGCGAAACCUGGCCCGGUUCAGGGAGGAUCACCUUGACCUAUUCCAGAAUGCCAAGAAGUUGGACAUCCCCGAGAAGCCCAAAAACCCCCCAGCAGCUGUGGUACACCCACGAGAAGAAGGUGUACCUCAAAGUGCGGCCCGACGCCACUGCGAAGGAGGUGAAGGACUCCCUGGGGAAGCAGUGGUCUCAGCUCUCGGACCAAAAGAGGCUGAAAUGGAUUCAUAAAGCCCUGGAGCAGCAGAAGGAGUAUGAGGAGAUUAUGCGUGAAUAUAUCCAGAAACACCCUGAGCUGAACAUCAGUGAGGAGGGCAUCACCAAGUCCACCCUCACGAAGGCCAAACGCCAGCUCAAGGACAAGUUUGAUGGGUGACCCACAAACCCACCUCCCAAACAGCUACUCGCUGUACUGAGGCGAGCUGAUGGCCAACAUGAAGGACGUGCCUAGCACCAAGCGCAUGGUCCUGUGCAGCCAGCAGUGGAAGCUGCUCUCCCAGAAGGAGAAGGCUGCCUACCACAAGAAGUGUGACCAGAAAAAGAAAGGCUAUGAGGUGGAACUGCUCCGUUUCCUAGAGAGCCUGCCUGAGGAGGAACAGCAGCGGGUCUUUGGGGAGGAGAAGAUGUUAAGCAUCAACAAGAAGCAAGCCACCAGCCCAGCCUCCAAGAAGCCCUCACAGGAAGGGGGCAAGGGCGGCUCCGAGAAGCCCAAGGGGCCGGUGUCAGCCAUGUUCAUGUUCUCUGAAGAGAAGCGACGGCAGCUGCAAGAGGAGCAGCCCGAGCUCUCGGAGAGCGAGCUGACCCGGCUUCUGGCCCGCAUGUGUAAUGACUUGUCGGAAAAGAAGAAGGCCAAGUACAAGGCCCGGGAGGCGGCGCUGAAGGCCCAGUUGGAGAGGAAGCCGGGCGGGGACCGUGAGGAACGGGACAAGCUGCCAGAGUCACCCAAGAGAGCUGAGGAGAUCUGGCAGCAGAGCGUCAUCGGGGACUACCUGGCCCGCUUCAAGAAUGACCGGGUGAAGGCCUUGAAAGCCAUGGAGAUGACCUGGAACAACGUGGAGAAGAAGGAGAAACUGAUGUGGAUUAAGAAGGCAGCCGAAGACCAAAAGCGAAACGAGAGAGAGCUGAGUGAGGUGCGGGCGCCCCCCGCUGCUGCAAACUCAUCCAAGAAGAUGACGUUCCACGGAGAACCGAAGAAGCCUCCCAGGAACGGUUACCAGAAGUUCUCCCAGGAGCUGCUGUCCAACGGGGAGCUGACCACCUGCCACUGAAAGAGCGCAUGGUGGAGCUAGGCGGUCGCUGGCAGCGCAUCUCCCAGAGCCAGAAGGAGCACUACAAAAACUGGCGGAGGAACAGCAGAAGCAGUACAAAGUACCCCGGCACCUCUGCGUCAAGAGUCUGUCUCCCCAGCACCAAGCAGCAUAUAAAGAGUACAUCUCCAAUCAACGUGAGAGCAUGACCAAGCUGCGCGGCCCAGGCCCCGAGUCCAGCCGGACUGCCUUGCAGUCCAAGUCGGAGUCUGAGGAGGACCGCGAAGAGCACGAGGAGGAAGACGAGGACGAGAAUGAAGAGGAGGACGACGAUGGGAACGGGGACUCCUCUGAGGAUGGCGGGGAAUCCUCCGAGUCGAGCAGCGAGGACAAGAGUGAGGACGGAGUUGAGAACGAGGAGGACGACGAGGAUGAGGACCAGGAGUCUGAGGGCAGCAGCCCCAGCUCCUCUUCCUCAGGGGACUCCUUGGACUCUGAUUCCAACUGA